This 694-nucleotide ribosomal RNA is filed under the name uncultured Pseudomonadota bacterium. RNAcentral describes it as "bacterial SSU rRNA". It matches the Rfam family "Bacterial small subunit ribosomal RNA", at positions 56 to 739 of the family's 1533-position model. Lineage: Bacteria; Pseudomonadati; Pseudomonadota. The record is from RNAcentral.
UGCAAGUCGAACGGUAACAGGAAGAAGCUUGCUUCUUUGCUGACGAGUGGCGGACGGGUGAGUAAUGUCUGGGAAACUGCCUGAUGGAGGGGGAUAACUACUGGAAACGGUAGCUAAUACCGCAUAACGUCGCAAGACCAAAGAGGGGGACCUUCGGGCCUCUUGCCAUCGGAUGUGCCCAGAUGGGAUUAGCUAGUAGGUGGGGUAACGGCUCACCUAGGCGACGAUCCCUAGCUGGUCUGAGAGGAUGACCAGCCACACUGGAACUGAGACACGGUCCAGACUCCUACGGGAGGCAGCAGUGGGGAAUAUUGCACAAUGGGCGCAAGCCUGAUGCAGCCAUGCCGCGUGUAUGAAGAAGGCCUUAGGGUUGUAAAGUACUUUCAGCGGGGAGGAAGGGAGUAAAGUUAAUACCUUUGCUCAUUGACGUUACCCGCAGAAGAAGCACCGGCUAACUCCGUGCCAGCAGCCGCGGUAAUACGGAGGGUGCAAGCGUUAAUCGGAAUUACUGGGCGUAAAGCGCACGCAGGCGGUUUGUUAAGUCAGAUGUGAAAUCCCCGGGCUCAACCUGGGAACUGCAUCUGAUACUGGCAAGCUUGAGUCUCGUAGAGGGGGGUAGAAUUCCAGGUGUAGCGGUGAAAUGCGUAGAGAUCUGGAGGAAUACCGGUGGCGAAGGCGGCCCCCUGGACGAAGA